This is a long non-coding RNA of Mus musculus (house mouse), 4278 nucleotides long. RefSeq annotates it as predicted gene, 53840. NCBI's taxonomy places the organism in Eukaryota, Metazoa, Chordata, Mammalia, Rodentia, Muridae. The transcript is spliced from 2 exons. The record is from RefSeq and is a predicted model, not a curated record.
UUAUGAAAAAAACCAAUGUGUUCUCCAAUACCUUUACAAGAAAUAACAUUACAUAGUACAGGUAAAGAAAAAUUAUUUCCCCAAACCCAUGUACAUUUAUAACUAAGCAACUUGCUAUAGACUAACAAAGUAUAAAAGCAAGCAAGGUAGUUUUUCUCAGCCAGUUUCUCUUACUAGCAGGCAGCAAUUUGCAGUUACAAAGAAAGGAGUAAUUAUUUUAUUAUCUUUAAAAGUAAUCUUCCAAGAAUCUUAAAAGAAUCACAAAUCUAAGCUUUUAGAUAAACCCAGUCAUAUCUACCUUAAGUCCUCACAAUGCACAUCCACUCAUCAGCAACUGAAGCUGAGGGCAAAAAUGGACUAAGAAAUGAAUCACCACCAGUCCAGCCUCAGAGAGUCAUGUCAGCCAGUGCUGCCACUGCUCUCGCUCCCUCACCUUAACUAACUGGUUACCUAAUUAGUUAAUUGCUUAACUAGUAAGAGUGUGUCUUUCUGAACUUUAGUCUGCUUUCUAAGAUUUUUUUCCAUAAAAGCCAGUAGUAAAACCAUCUCAACCUAGCCUCACUAACAAUUUUAUUUUAUUUUAUUUUGGUUUUUUUGAGACAGUUUCUCUGUGUAGCCUUGGCUGUCCUCGCAGCAAUGCCUGAAAGAGAUCAAGCAUCGGCACUGCGAAUGUCAGAGAUACUGGCCAGAGAGGAACUGAAAACCUCUUAAAGUUUUCAUAUAACUCUUCGAUUAAGAGGGAUUAAAAAAAGAAGAAGAAGAAAGAAAAAAGAGGGAUGUGAGGGCAGAAGCAGAGCAGAACUCCAUAACAGUAUAAAGUCUUCAGGACACGUGGCCCUUUGGGUCAUGCAAUGCCAAGUCUCACCCAUGUAGCUGUGGUAACCUACGGGCUGCAUUCUAUGUGAUUCCUCCUGCAUGGCCUUCAAUGGGGCACUCCCCCUUCUCAGAGAAGGGGAAGGGGCGGGGCUGCGAUUCAGAUGUAAAGUUAAUAAAUUAAUGGAAAAAAAACCCCGAAACUCAUUUUUAGUUUAAAAUAGUAAGGGAUAUUUUAAGCUUAAGUCACUACUCAAAUUUUGUUUCAAAAUCGAAUGAAGAGAGCAGACAGGAGCAGAAUUAGAAACCCUCUGGGGAAGUAAAACUUUGUGCCUUGGUAAAAACCAAAAUAAAAACAGCAGACAGAAAUAUAGCCCAUCAUCUACAAUUAAUAUGUUAAAAGCAUUUUAUUUCUUAAACAAAACAAUAAACAAAAACCAACCAGGAUUCAGAAUGCAAGAGUGAGGUAACCAGAAGGAAACAGGAAACAACCCAGAGAACCAACGAGGCAGGGAUGGGACACGGUGGUGCUGGGGAUGGAAAGCUGUUGUCAAGACAACACUGUAUGUCAUCAUCUUUUCUGAUUUUUAAAGGCAGCCACUACCCAAACCUUCUCAUCUCCCUUAGUCUAGUAUCUGCUUUGGAGGAGCCGAGCAGAGAGAUGGGAAAGAGACUAGUUCUCCAAGCUCCAGAUCCUACCCACAUAGACGGAGUCAAGAACUGAACAUGAACAUGGUACACACCUGCACAGCACCCAGAAGGUAGGGGCAGGGAUUACACGUUUCAUGUCCUGUCUCACAGGAAACAAACUAAACAGGAAGUAGGGCACAGAAACAAAAAAGAGGGUAUAGGGAUGAAAUGAAGGCUUCCAGGUGCAACCAACUGGCCAGCACACCAUCUCAGGACUAGCUAAACUGUGGAAGUGGCUCCCAAACCAUGCUCCCCUGUCCCAGAGGCUAAGCCCAAAGGCAGCAGAUGUGGUGCUCAGAGGACAAAUCAUGUCGGUGUGCUCAGAAUUCCUUCCAGGCUUAUGAGAACUUUCCAUGUAACUUAUUGUAUUUCAACCUAGGAUCAAGAUGAAACAGAUGAAGGUCGGCUCCUAUGAGGUGGCAAAGCCCUCUGAAGGCUCCCGCUUGAAGCAGCCCCUCCAACAAGCCCGUGUCAGCCAACCUACAAAGGCAUGAGGGUUAUUUUAGGCAAGUGAGAUGCAUGGUGCUUAUGAUGGCAACAGUGACUGAGGUGAGCAGAUGGCAGGCUCUCUGGCUCCACUCUGUCACAAGGGAACACCUCGUGUUGAAGAGCACCGUGCCCCCAUCUGCCCUCUUCCAAGCACUUCCAAGCUCUUGCACCUAGGAAAUCUCGUAGGCCUUCUUCACCUGCUUCAGUCAGACUUGUCCCCAGUGUCCAGGUUCUGCGCUGCCUCCACCAUGAAGCCCGCUGCCUUCCUGCUCGCUUAGGUGUCCUGUUCCUGCCUUCCUCGGUGGUGGCUUAUCUCAGUCCUAUUUAUCACUUUUUGCUUACAUGAUGAAACCGUCAGCCGUUAAAGGACACCACCACCAUUCUGCCCACUGAUACUCAAGUACAUAGCAGGUAAGAAACAUAUACUUGUUGAGUUAAUACAUGUGAAAGAUUCAUUUUGGUAAGUACAAAAGUCUAAAAUAACUACUAAGAAGCCACUGAGUUCUUAAAGGACAAAAAUCAGAGCUGGGGAUGGAGGCACAUACCUGUAGGUGAUGCAGCACCUAGACGUGGAGUAGGAACACUCAGGAAUUCAUUCUAGGCUGUAGGAAACACACUAACAACCUGCAAAAAACUUGUCUAAAAACCUGCUGUAACUUAACACAUUUUAAAGAAAAAAGUUCUUUAUAUGUAAAAAAGAAAGACACUUGAUUUUUUACAUUAAAAAUUUUUAUUUCAUUUAAAAGAUCCAAUAUUUGAAGCCAAAUUAACCCCAAAUUUACAGCUACAUUUAGAGAUCUCUGAACUAAAUGGCACUGUUUGAGGUCACCUGUCAUCGUUAUCUCCCCCAAAGUUGUUUCUGAGCAAAAGCUGGUAUUUCUGUAACACAUAUCUUAGAUGUCACCUUUCUCACAGAAAUUAAAGGCCGACAGACUUUCCCCUUGUGGGCGAGGAUAAAUACACAACCGACCCACCAGGACCAAUGCUUUGUGCACACUAUAGGUGUAUGUAACUAUAAAGUAACGUAUGGCGCUAUGCUGUGCUCCUGUAUUUAUUCCAAAUACUGGUGUUAGUCAACACUUUCUGGGAUAGUACUUCAAAAUUUCCCUCUUCCAGUGCACACCAAAGGAAGUGGGUUGCUCAAGCUAGAGACAAACUACCACAAAGGAACAGCUUUUCUAGUCGGCUGGUAACAGCACAAACCACCUCCCGAGUGUUUUACUUAAAGUGAUGCAGGAUCUUGGUCUCUACAUACAUAUGAGGAUAAAUUAAAAGAUGAGUUUGUUACUUUAUAGCUACACAUUUGACUUCAAUAGAUGUGCAGACAAUGUGUCUAAUGAGUCCAUCUGGAAAUCACUUCAGCCUGUGAAAGAGAAGACAUGGCAGAGGGUGGAAAGUCAUCCUUCCAGCAUUCCCUUGGAGGACAGAGCUGGGCCCAAGGACAGAAGUUACCAGGAGGGAGGCUUCAGCUCCAUUAAGGAGACCUUCCUAACAGAGCUGCUCAACAAUGAAUGGACUGCUCGUGAGGUAGUCACUGGAAGUGUUCAAGGUGGAAAGACAACCUUGGAGAAGGGACUCCUGCAUUUAAGAGGUUAGACUGGAUGGACCUCAGGUCUCUUUCAAUUCUGAGAUUCUAGAAAAUUCCCUCAGGGAAUUCAGAAGAGAAUUCCUAAAAGGAAAGAGAAAGCACACAUAUGGUAUACUUUUAGAAUCCUCUUGAGUUUUCUUUUUUAAAAGGUACAAUAGAAAUGUAGUCUACGGUCUUUUAAAAUGCAUAUUUACCCUUCUCCCACUAUUAAUUACGAAGGGUUCAUUACGACUCCUUUAUAUUAUAAAGAAAAGAUGGAGAUUAUAUUUAUAAUUUUGCAAAUAUUUUAGAAAAAUGCUUAAAAUCUAGUAGUCAAUGCCCUAGAAACUUUAUAGAUUUUUAAGUAAUAUGCACAGAUACAAAUACAUUAUUCAUUAAAUACAGCUCACGUCUGUGUUUUAUUAUACUCUAAAAUAUACAGGAAUCUUGAUGUACUGAAAGAGUGCAAGUAAAUACAGGAUUCAAGCAGUCACUAUUUCUAUGUACAUGCUCAUUAAUUCUUCAAAAAACCCACAAAAUUAUCAAAUAGAUCAAAAUACUGUUCUGUGUUUUCACACUUUAUAUUCAGAAAAACCAGCUGAUAAUUUACAAUGUCAUAAAGUUCCAGUUUCACAAUACAAAAAGGGUAAGAUGGAAUUGGGUAUCAUUUUGUUGCAAUGUAUGGAACUUUACCCAGCUCUAGUAAGACCCCUCCCCCC